RNAcentral lists this long non-coding RNA (747 nucleotides) under Scophthalmus maximus (turbot). RNAcentral describes it as "lncRNA (ENSSMAG00000019362.2)". The record is from RNAcentral. Lineage: Eukaryota; Metazoa; Chordata; Actinopteri; Pleuronectiformes; Scophthalmidae.
AUGAUGCUGCCCGCUUCAAUUUCCUCAGCUUCAGCACCAAAUAGUCACGUCAGCCAGCUGAGCAGAUACACGAGCAGCCACCUCAACACGCCCGAGGAGGACGAUGAGACCAUGAGCCUCACGGAGCGAGAAGCCCGGGACCCCUCCCCAAAACGCGACGGACGCCGACCAGAGAACUCCACCUCCGCCGACGGCUCCCUGUUCAGCGCGAUGGGGCCGGACACAGAGCGGGGACGCCCACGCGGCGGCGCUCUCCCCCAGCCCGGCCCGAGCUACUGCUCCUACCGGCCGCACAGCAACGCGGCUGCUUACGGUCAGCCCACUCCGUUUCCCAGCCAGGCCGAGGGGCCGUGGCUCCACCCGAGCUUUGCCAGCGGCUGGUCGGGGUAUCCCAACAGCCUGCCGUCGUACUUGAGCCAGAAGGAUUACUCCUGCUGCUCCGCGGAGAGCUGCCACUCGGGGAACAAGUGCCUGGCCCUCCCCCGCGGACACAGCACCCCGAUGAGCAGCCUGGAGCAGCCGCUCUCCUUGCACUCCAACCCGCCGUCGACCGACCUGCGUCACCACACCCUGUCUCCGUACGCGUGCUCGCCGCCGGGAGCCGCCUGCUGCGCCCAGUGCCAGGCAGACACCUUCAACAGGGGUCUUAUGGCCAACAGCCCCCCUGGGCCUCCGUACCACCCAGCGUAUAGCCCGUACUCUCCAGGUGACUACAGACUUCCUGGAGCUGGAUACACACAGAUGUGA